This is a non-coding RNA of Paramuricea clavata, 1204 nucleotides long. The record is from the annotation of a GenBank genome assembly. Lineage: Eukaryota; Metazoa; Cnidaria; Anthozoa; Malacalcyonacea; Plexauridae.
AUUUUUUCUUUAAAUGUAAGGAGUUGUGCCUCGGCUAUAGUCGGGAUAUCAUCAGCUCGUUGUUGAAAUGGUGUAGAAAAGCUGGCUGUCUGAGCAAAAUUCGGCGUGGCUGCGGCAUUCGCAAUAUAAUAUGCGCUAUCAAUGAAGUCCUCAAGUUCUUCGAGUGACGAAGUGUCAGCAAUCGAUUCAAACCCCAUAUCUUUGGCUUGAGUAUUGUACGAACAAUUGUGAGUUAAAGGGGCCAUGUCCUCAAACACACGGCCAUUACCAACGAUAUGUUCGCCUUCGACCGACAUUUUUGUAGUUGUUUGGAUUAAACUAUCCGAGGUCGUAUUUGUUUGCUUAAUAACGCAAUUUGUGUCUAAUACGCUCACUAGAAAUUCCUUGAAAGAUUUGCCUUUCUUUCCAUUGAAAGUCAAAUAGUUUUGUUUGCCCGGGUACCAAGUCAUAAUAAAAUCAGAGCUUAAGUUUAUAAACUGUUUGGCUUUACCGCCAGGCGACGUCCAUUUACCCGUUAAUCCGACAACAUUUUCGGCAAAAGUCCUUAACGAACAGAGGUCGUUUGUCCAUUUGAGACGGAUCCCAUCAUAAACUAGAUGACCUUGAUUGUUUAACAACUUUAUGGAGUUCAUAUCAAUAGUUUCAGGACUAAAAUUUUCAAGUUUAGUUGAGGCCAUAAUUAAACCAUGAUUGCUUUUAAUUUUCAAAAUAUUUUAUUACCGAAAUACUUAUGGUAACUAUAUAGGUUAUUAUGCGUGGUGUAAGCUUCAAUUUAAUAUGAAAUACAACGACCUAUAUACUGUAACGCUUCAUAACUGUUUUGGUUUAUUUAUAAAACUCAACAGUUUUUAUCGAUGAACUUCGUGUUUGAAAUAAAACCAUUUUAUGCCAUAGAAUUCUGUCAUUUUCAUAAUAGAAAUACAGUAAGUUAAUGUUUAUUCAUCCAACAAAACCUACCUUGUAUAUAUAAUAUUUUAUUUUAAAGUGUUUUUGUAAACUUGGUGUUUCAAAGAAUUACAAAAGAAAUGCUAAUUGUUUGUUUCAUUUUGCAACAAACUCAAGGUAAAUGGUGAUUCAAUAGCAACGAUCGAUGUGCCGGAAAAAUAUAUAGGUAUUGUAAUGGGCAAAGAACGUAGGAAUAUAGCGAAGAUUGAAACAAAAUCAGCAACCGGAAUCAAAGUUGCUUCUGUCCAAAACGCUGAAG